Molecule: non-coding RNA, 24 nt
Filed under: Arabidopsis thaliana (thale cress)
Lineage: Eukaryota; Viridiplantae; Streptophyta; Magnoliopsida; Brassicales; Brassicaceae
Source: RNAcentral
GACGUGUGCCUCUGAUGUUCGCCA